AUGACAUUUCGUUUGUUUAAAUGGAAAUAUGCAUGUCCAAAGAAUUCUGAGAUGUUUUAAUCAAAAAGCAAAAAAAGAAAAGAAAAAAAAACUUUUUUUUUAAAUCUAGUUUUCUGGCACCAAAAAAGAAAAAAAAGUCUUUGGAUUUCAUUGUUUUAGGGGAAAAAAAACAUUUCCAGACCAACCCUAGGGCUUCCCCCUUGUUACUGUUUCCAAUAACAUGACAAAUAAAUUGUCUCUCUGUAAGAUCUGCAUGGGAUCACAACUGAAUGAAUUCCAGCUGAGAAAAACUUCCGCCUGAUGUCUCAGGUCAUGUCUACACAGGAGCUCUCAGGGAAGUUAAGGCGAACAGAGGCAGCUAAUAUGGGGAUAAAUAAUAUCUAAACUCCUUGUCUCGCAGCAGCGUUGUGGUUAGUUGAUUCGUGUUUGAGAUCCUCAGAGGAAAGGUGCUAUAGAAUGGCCAUGUAUUCAGAGUAGCGAUUUGCUUGAAUUUUGGCUCACCCCGGGCCAUCUGCUACAUUACACAGCACAGCUCAUAGCUCUCUUCUACGGCCCUUAAACAACCUGCCCUGUUGGAACCAGGAGCACAUAUAGAUGUACGAAAUACGGCAGUGAUGAAGAACGGGUAAGGCAAGGAGCUUGGGGAAAUUUAAUCUCGAUCAUAUUUUAUUUUAAAUAUGUCUUAACAUUUUAGGACGAUGAUGAUAAUAGAACCUUAUUUCCACAGGAGAUGUCCGAACGGUACAUUGUGCUGUUCCCCUUCCAGCUGUUGAUUCUAUCAGUGGAUCACAUGAAGAAGGCGUUUGUCUACCAGGGCCUGCUUCCGCUGGCGGGGAUGAGUGUGAGGGAUGUGCCGAGUGACACCGGCUGCAUGUUUGAAAUGAUGGGGCCCAUGAUAGAAUCCAGGAUCAUCUCAUGCCCGAGUCCAGCUGAAUUCCACAUCUGGGUUCUCAGCAUCCAGCAGCACAUCAAGAUGGCAAAUGCUCACUGUCCAGCCCACCCCAGCAGUAUCAUUCCUUUCCUGGUUCCAUGUGAUGAGCAGUGGAAGAAACGGAAGCUGAUGAAGCAUCUGUUUUACACCACCAUUCUGAAGUGGGAAGGGAAACCCAUCCAGCACCUAGGACGGAUACACUACCUGGCCAUGGUGCAGGUGGCUUAUGCCAGCAUGGGGGACUUUAAAGAGCGGCUGCUGGUGCUGUUUCCAGAGGAUCUGGUUUUCCUCUCCGUCGACAGAGAGAGAACCUGCAUUGCGUAUGAGGGAAAACUCCCUCUAGCUGGGAUCCAGGCAAAGGAGAAAUCUGCUGUGCUGGGGCGGCUGGAAUUUGAAAUCACCGGUAUGCCAGGGAUUGAUGAGCGUGGUGAGGGUGGAAGCCUGACGGAACCGAUCCUGGUCACCUGCUGCACCGCUGAAGAUUAUGAAAAAUGCCUCUUCUACCUACAAAAGCCUGAGCAAAACCUUGACACGGUGACUGUCCAGCCACCACCCAUGGUGCCGAAGAAAUCGCUGCAGCGUUAGAACUAUGGAGCCUAUGGAAAAGGCCCAGUGACAGCGCUGACUGUAGGGGCCAAACUGAUGGCUAAGGAUGUUGGAGGAAGGAGCCCACCACUGGCAAAACUAGAGAUGGACCAGAAAUAACUUGAAUCCAAACCCCUCCAGACUGAGAAGGUUGAAUUGUGAGUCCUCCAUCUGAACCUACCCUGUGGGGUAUGGUCCCCAGCUGGACUCAUUCAUUUGUGCCCAGAUUAGCUGCUGUUCCCGAUGGCCUGUUGGAAUCCCCUGGAUAUAAUCCCGGUUGAUCAGACUCCUUGGGGAGGAAUCCUUCCUGGUUUGAUCACUUUAUUUAUUGGCUGCUGCUGCUUGGAGAGAGAAAUAACCUAAGGUAGUGUGUAAAUAGGAUGAAUAAAACCCAUCAGCCCAAAUCCA
Chrysemys picta bellii (western painted turtle) is the source of this 1924-nucleotide long non-coding RNA. The record is from Ensembl. NCBI's taxonomy places the organism in Eukaryota, Metazoa, Chordata, Testudines, Emydidae.